GAUGAACGCUAGCGGCAGGCUUAAUUACAUGCAAGUCGUACGGGAUCCGAGGUAGCAAUACUUUGGUGAGAGUGGCGCACGGGUGCGUAACACGUAUGCAACCUACCUUUAACCGGGACACAACCUUGAGAAAUUGAGGCUAAUAUCCCAUAACACUGCGAGAUGGCAUCAUUUUGCAGUUAAAACUCCGGUGGUUAUAGAUGGGCAUGCGCGACAUUAGCUAGUUGGUGAGGUAACGGCCCACCAAGGCUACGAUGUCUAGGGGUUCUGAGAGGAUUAUCCCCCACACUGGUACUGAGACACGGACCAGACUCCUACGGGAGGCAGCAGUAAGGAAUAUUGGUCAAUGGGCGCAAGCCUGAAACCAGCCAUGCCGCGUGAAGGAUGACGGCCCUAUGGGUUGUAAACUUCUUUUGUACGGGAAAAAACCACAGGUCGAGUAUCUGUGCUGAUGGUACCGUAAGAAUAAGCAAUCGGCU
Molecule: ribosomal RNA, 479 nt
Filed under: uncultured bacterium
Lineage: Bacteria
Description: bacterial SSU rRNA
Rfam family: Bacterial small subunit ribosomal RNA
Source: RNAcentral